UACGGAGGAGGCAAGCGUUAUCCGGAAUUAUUGGGCGUAAAGCGUCCGUAGGUGGCUAGUCAAGUCUGCGGUCAAAGACUGGGGCUUAACCCUGGAAAGGCCGUGGAAACUGACGAGCUAGAGUGCAGUAGGGGUAGAGGGAAUUCCCGGUGUAGCAGUGAAAUGCGUAGAGCUCGGGAAGAACAUCGGUGGCGAAAGCGCUCUACUGGACUGCAACUGACACUCAGGGACGAAAGCUAGGGGAGCGAAUGGG
Molecule: ribosomal RNA, 253 nt
Filed under: uncultured bacterium
Lineage: Bacteria
Description: partial 16S ribosomal RNA
Rfam family: Bacterial small subunit ribosomal RNA
Source: RNAcentral